This 374-nucleotide ribosomal RNA is filed under the name uncultured organism. Its description in RNAcentral is "partial 16S ribosomal RNA". It matches the Rfam family "Bacterial small subunit ribosomal RNA", at positions 527 to 896 of the family's 1533-position model. The record is from RNAcentral.
GUAGGUGGCAAGCGUUGUCCGGAAUUAUUGGGCGUAAAGCGCGCGCAGGCGGUCCUUUAAGUCUGAUGUGAAAGCCCACGGCUCAACCGUGGAGGGUCAUUGGAAACUGGGGGACUUGAGUACAGAAGAGGAAAGCGGAAUUCCAAGUGUAGCGGUGAAAUGCGUAGAGAUUUGGAGGAACACCAGUGGCGAAGGCGGCUUUCUGGUCUGUAACUGACGCUGAGGCGCGAAAGCGUGGGGAGCAAACAGGAUUAGAUACCCUGGUAGUCAACGCCGUAAACGAUGAGUGCUAAGUGUUAGGGGGUUUCCCGCCCCCCUUAGUGCUGCAGCUAACGCAUUAAGCACUCCGCCUGGGGAGUACGGCCGCAAGGCUG